GCCUAUAGUCAUGCUGGACUGAAUGCCCCCAAAAAAUCUAAACUUGGAAGCUAAGCAAUCCCAGGCCUAGAUAGUAUUUGGAGGACAGACCAGCUUUGAAUCCCAAGGCAUACAGGCA
Ribosomal RNA from Apteryx haastii (Great spotted kiwi), 118 nucleotides. NCBI's taxonomy places the organism in Eukaryota, Metazoa, Chordata, Aves, Apterygiformes, Apterygidae. The record is from Ensembl.